UUUAUGGAGAGUUUGAUCCUGGCUCAGGAUGAACGCUGGCGGCGUGCCUAAUACAUGCAAGUCGAGCGAACGGACGAGAAGCUUGCUUCUCUGAUGUUAGCGGCGGACGGGUGAGUAACACGUGGAUAACCUGCCUAUAAGACUGGGAUAACUUCGGGAAACCGGAGCUAAUACCGGAUAAUAUUUUGAACCGCAUGGUUCAAAAGUGAAAGACGGUCUUGCUGUCACUUAUAGAUGGAUCCGCGCUGCAUUAGCUAGUUGGUAAGGUAACGGCUUACCAAGGCAACGAUGCAUAGCCGACCUGAGAGGGUGAUCGGCCACACUGGAACUGAGACACGGUCCAGACUCCUACGGGAGGCAGCAGUAGGGAAUCUUCCGCAAUGGGCGAAAGCCUGACGGAGCAACGCCGCGUGAGUGAUGAAGGUCUUCGGAUCGUAAAACUCUGUUAUUAGGGAAGAACAUAUGUGUAAGUAACUGUGCACAUCUUGACGGUACCUAAUCAGAAAGCCACGGCUAACUACGUGCCAGCAGCCGCGGUAAUACGUAGGUGGCAAGCGUUAUCCGGAAUUAUUGGGCGUAAAGCGCGCGUAGGCGGUUUUUUAAGUCUGAUGUGAAAGCCCACGGCUCAACCGUGGAGGGUCAUUGGAAACUGGAAAACUUGAGUGCAGAAGAGGAAAGUGGAAUUCCAUGUGUAGCGGUGAAAUGCGCAGAGAUAUGGAGGAACACCAGUGGCGAAGGCGACUUUCUGGUCUGUAACUGACGCUGAUGUGCGAAAGCGUGGGGAUCAAACAGGAUUAGAUACCCUGGUAGUCCACGCCGUAAACGAUGAGUGCUAAGUGUUAGGGGGUUUCCGCCCCUUAGUGCUGCAGCUAACGCAUUAAGCACUCCGCCUGGGGAGUACGACCGCAAGGUUGAAACUCAAAGGAAUUGACGGGGACCCGCACAAGCGGUGGAGCAUGUGGUUUAAUUCGAAGCAACGCGAAGAACCUUACCAAAUCUUGACAUCCUUUGACAACUCUAGAGAUAGAGCUUUCCCCUUCGGGGGACAAAGUGACAGGUGGUGCAUGGUUGUCGUCAGCUCGUGUCGUGAGAUGUUGGGUUAAGUCCCGCAACGAGCGCAACCCUUAAGCUUAGUUGCCAUCAUUAAGUUGGGCACUCUAAGUUGACUGCCGGUGACAAACCGGAGGAAGGUGGGGAUGACGUCAAAUCAUCAUGCCCCUUAUGAUUUGGGCUACACACGUGCUACAAUGGACAAUACAAAGGGCAGCGAAACCGCGAGGUCAAGCAAAUCCCAUAAAGUUGUUCUCAGUUCGGAUUGUAGUCUGCAACUCGACUACAUGAAGCUGGAAUCGCUAGUAAUCGUAGAUCAGCAUGCUACGGUGAAUACGUUCCCGGGUCUUGUACACACCGCCCGUCACACCACGAGAGUUUGUAACACCCGAAGCCGGUGGAGUAACCUUUUAGGAGCUAGCCGUCGAAGGUGGGACAAAUGAUUGGGGUGAAGUCGUAACAAGGUAGCCGUAUCGGAAGGUGCGGCUGGAUCACCUCCUUUCU
RNAcentral lists this ribosomal RNA (1554 nucleotides) under Staphylococcus aureus. Its description in RNAcentral is "16S ribosomal RNA". It matches the Rfam family "Bacterial small subunit ribosomal RNA". The record is from RNAcentral. Lineage: Bacteria; Bacillati; Bacillota; Bacilli; Caryophanales; Staphylococcaceae.